Astatotilapia calliptera (eastern happy) is the source of this 2335-nucleotide long non-coding RNA. Lineage: Eukaryota; Metazoa; Chordata; Actinopteri; Cichliformes; Cichlidae. The record is from Ensembl.
UGUACUCGCGCCAACACAGCCACAUGGCCACGUUUUGGUAUGCAGAUACACAGACACAGAUUCUGUCGGUGAUCUUUCAUAUUGCCUUUCAUCACAUGAGAGAGACGAAAACAUCUGUAGGAUACCUUGUUCGGUCUGUUCUACAGAGAAGACGAGACAGAGGGCCCCUGUGUGAGUAUAUCCCAUGUAAACAGGGCCCUGUGCAUUGUGUGAAUUAGGUGGAUUAGCCCCUGCUUUUGUUGGACAUGGUGUGUACACACGGACACUGAUUCAGCUCUCCAAAAGCCAUUUUGGCCCUCACAACUUUAAGGAAGCCUUACAUUCUUAGGAGAUGGUCUAAAUGGGGGAUUCCUUUUGAAGCAACACGGCAUUCAUUAUUGUGUUGGUUCAGGUUUUGUUUGGCAAAAUGCAAAAACAUUGAAUUCAGUCGGAGCCUCCAUUAUAGUUUAGCCUGCAAAGACGAAUGGAAAACAUCCUGUUGGUGUCUUAAACUCGUCAAACGAAGCCCCGAAUUCGAGUAAUAACCCAGUGAACACAGGCAGAGAUAAAUACCUUUAAUUAGACCUAUCGAAUCUAUAAUUAUUAGUUUUGAUUGACUGAUAUUAUUGGUGACAUGAAAUUGGAGCAUGUGGAACACCCACCCAUACAGUCUCAUCGACCACCCGCCGCGCGUGCACGUGAUUUUGAGGUGUAAAUAAACAUUUGCACGUAUUUCUUCAUAUUUCCAGUUUUUGAACAAUUAAGACAAACAAUUUAAGGACUGGUUUAUUAACGCCGCCCAAUUAAAACAUCCCCCAGAACCAAUUUGUCUUCAUAUCAGCUGUCCUACCACGAUUUCUUCCAAAUAUUUUCAAAAUCGUUGCGAGCGGGUUUCGUCCCUCACGUCUGUCAGGUGCGAUCCAACAGAUGUGACUUAGAUGAUAUUUUAGAGUCCGUGCUUUUAUUUUUUCGUAAUCUUUGCCGUUUUAAUAGAAACAUAGUUUGUUUUUUUCCGAUCUGUUCUGCUCCCAUAAACUUUUGCUUAGUCCACCUCGUUUCAUGUGUCCUCACUAAAAAUAUGAAAUGCAACAGAUGUCGGAGACAAAAGAGGGAAAUUUAAUGGGAUACCGAUAAAAGUCAAACUGGCCGAUAUGCAACGCCAUGGCCUCUUUACGAUUCAUGAUUUUAGUGGCCAAAGAAAAACUAAUUGGAAAACAGUUUUAAUGCGGAUUUUGUAAUAAGAGUACAUCAGAAGGCCCGUAUAGGCCCCCUCUCUGCGUGACGUUUUCAUCAGUAUUCAUCCACCUGUAGCUUCAAGGCUUCUGUUGAUUUUGAAAUUAAUAAUGAUUGUUUUCGCAAACUACUCUACUCCCAUCAUUUGAGUUUGUUGUUUUUUUGUGCUGGUAUUUGGUGAAAGUCAUUAAAGCCGUGCUGUUGGAGAAUAGAUUAAAAACUUUAAAACGAGGACAAAAAAAGUGCUUUCAGAGUACUAAUUUUGACACUCAGCUUCUUAAAUAUUUAAUUUUAUGCAUUACUGUGCUUUUUAGUUUGGCUGAGGACGACCGACGAAAAAAAAGUUAAUGUAAAUGAAAUCUAAACUUAACCAAAGCUAUGUUUGUUGUAUUUUAAUUUAUAGAAAAUCGUCUCUUUUUUUUCUUUUUUUUUCUUUUUCUUUUUCUUUUCUUUCUUUCUUUUUCUUUUACAGCAGAGGGUAUUACGGAGUAAGCUACUGAUAUUCGACCCACAGUCUAUUUGUCAUAAAAAAAAAAAAACAUUUUCCAUUAUUGGCGCUUGCAGUGGUUUUGAUUUUUCAUCACUCAAAUGUAGCUGUUUGAAAAAAGUACGUUUUCUAUUGCAAUUUAGAAGCCCGCGCUGACUGACUUUGAUUGUGCUUAAUAUGAAAUGAUUUUGCGUCUUUGUGCUUGCUUGUGAGUAAGCGGAUUAGACUUGGAAAGAUGAGUUUCAACAUGUGGUGAUAACCUCUUCAAAGAGGAGAACAGUACAGCGGGUCAUCGCAGUUUCUUAUAUUUCAUUUACUUCAUUCAUGUGUUUUUUAAAGGGCCCAAAAAAUAUCAAGCGCCAGCUUACAAGAUUUGAACUGAGUUAAGGGCUAAUAGUCUUCAGGAUACACAUAUACAAACCACAUCUGAGGUCUGACUGCGCCAUUAGUGUAUCAGAAGGAAUAAAGUUUUAUGAUUGAGGUUAGCCUGUUUAUAUGUAGGAACAAGAUCCAUUACUUUUAAAAUCACGUUUUCUGGAUAUCAAUAUCUAUGCCUGGAUAUUUAUUAGUUAAACGUAGGCCUUCAGUCAUACAGUUGUCGCAUGUAUCAUGGAAACCAAUUUAAUCUAUGAGCAA